GACGAACGCUGGCGGCGUGCUUAACACAUGCCAGUCGAACGGAAAGGCCCUGCUUUUGUGGGGUGCUCGAGUGGCGAACGGGUGAGUAACACGUGAGUAACCUGCCCUUGACUUUGGGAUAACUUCAGGAAACUGGGGCUAAUACCGGAUAGGAGCUCCUGCUGCAUGGUGGGGGUUGGAAAGUUUCGGCGGUUGGGGAUGGACUCGCGGCUUAUCAGCUUGUUGGUGGGGUAUUGGCUUACCAAGGCUUUGACGGGUAGCCGGCCUGAGAGGGUGACCGGCCACAUUGGGACUGAGAUACGGCCCAGACUCCAACGGGAGGAAGCAGUGGGGAAUAUUGCAAAAUGGGCGGAAGCCUGAUGCAGCAACGCCGCGUGCGGGAUGACGGCCUUCGGGUUGUAAACCGCUUUCGCCUGUGACGAAGCGUGAGUGACGGUAAUGGGUAAAGAAGCACCGGCUAACUACGUG
Molecule: ribosomal RNA, 468 nt
Filed under: uncultured bacterium
Lineage: Bacteria
Description: partial 16S ribosomal RNA
Rfam family: Bacterial small subunit ribosomal RNA
Source: RNAcentral